UUGACGGGGACCCGCACAAGCAGCGGAGCGUGUGGUUUAAUUCGUUGCUACACGAAGAACCUUACCUGGGUUUGACAUAUAGGUUGUAGGGAACUGAAAAGGGACCGACCCUUCGGGGAGCCUAUACAGGUGUUGCAUGGCUGUCGUCAGCUCGUGUCGUGAGAUGUUCGGUUAAGUCCGCUAACGAGCGCAACCCUCGUCGUAUGUUAUAUGUGUCAUACGAGACUGCCGGUAAAAGCCGGAGGAAGGUGAGGAUGAUGUCAAGUCAGCAUGACCUUUAUAUCCAGGGCUACACACACGCUACAAUGGUCUGUACAAUGGGUAGCCAAGCCGCGAGGCGGAGCCAAUCCUGAAAGCAGGCCUCAGUUCAGAUUGCAGUCUGCAACUCGACUGCAUGAAGCCGGAGUUGCUAGUAACCGCAGGUCAGCAAUACUGCGGUGAAUACGUUCCCGGGUCUU
RNAcentral lists this ribosomal RNA (458 nucleotides) under uncultured Anaerolineaceae bacterium. RNAcentral describes it as "bacterial SSU rRNA". It matches the Rfam family "Bacterial small subunit ribosomal RNA", at positions 910 to 1382 of the family's 1533-position model. Lineage: Bacteria; Bacillati; Chloroflexota; Anaerolineae; Anaerolineales; Anaerolineaceae. The record is from RNAcentral.